UAUGCGGGCCCAGCCUAGGUCUCCUUUGCUCCUUUACCAAAUUCCCUUUGUCUUGCCACAGGCCCCAGGACCUCCAGGCAACUUCCUCUCCUUCAUCAGCAGUUGCCAGCAGUCAUCCUCUGGGCUCUGCCAGCAAGUUGGCAGCAGGUGUGGGGGGUGGAACACAAGCUUAGAAGUCACAAAAUCAGUAUUCUGGGCCCUACAUGAUGAGCUGUCACUGAGUGAUGCUGGCAUUGCAACUGCUUCUGUAAACAGGUGGGAUGGGUUCAAAGUGUGGAAUCAUUACCACAGCUGAUUAAUGAUGAGGUGGCAGAGAUGUGAUGUUAGAUAACAUUCAACCACACAUUGAGACUACGAUUCCCUUUUUAGUUUCUUCAAUUCUUGUGAUUAUGAUAAAAACAGGAGAAAGUUUCAAUCCAAUGCACUAUAUUCUUUUAUUUCCCCCCAUUGUUUUGAGACAGGGUCUCGCUCUGUCAUCCAGGCUGGAGUGGAGUGGCACGAUCAUAGCUCACUGUAGCCUCCUGUGCUCAAGUGAUCCUCUCACCUCAGUCUCCCGAGUAGCUGGAUAAACAAGUGUGUGCCAACAUGCCCAGCUAAUUUUUUAUUUUUAGUUUUUGUAGAGAUGGGGUCUCACUUUGUUGCCCAGAUUGGUCUCUAACUAAUUGACUCAAGUGAUCCUCCUGCCUUGGCCUCCCAAAGUGCUGGGAUUAUAGGUGUGAGCAACCACACUGGCCUUCUGUGUCUUCAAUACAUCUGUAUCACUUGCUAAUCCUGCAAACCAUACCUAUCCUGGUUUUCUUUUCUUUCCUUUUUUUUUUUUUUUUGAGACAGAUUCUCACACUGUCACCCGAGCUGGAGUGCCAUGGCUCGAUCUUGGCUCACUGCAACCUCUGCUUCCUGUGUUCAAGCGAUUCUCCUGCCUCAGCCUCCCUAGUAGCUGGGAUUACAGGCUCACGCCACCACACCCGACUAGUUUUUUGUAUUUUUAGUAGAGACGGGGUUUCACCAUGUUGGCCAGUCUGGUCUCAAACUCCUGACCUCAUGAUUUGCCCACCUCAGCCCCCCAAAGUGCUGGGAUUACAGGUGUGAGCCUCCGUACCCAGCCCCCUUUCUGUCUUUCAUAAGGAAAAUAAUAACUAUAAUCUAAUCAUACUGUUUCUCAAUCCAUGGGAGUGAGAGGAAGUUUCUUUAAAAAUAAAAUGUAUAAAGAAGUGAGUCACGUUAGAUUAUCUGAGUGUUAGAUAAGCUGAGGUGGUGUGGGGAUAUGGUAAAGCUCAUGACACUGGUAUGUGAAGGACUGAAGUUUGUCAAGCCCUUCACUAGACUAGCUGAGACUCAGUAAAUAAUCACUCUAAGAUUGGAAACUUGAAAUCCUAACACUGGAAACUUGAAAUCCUAGAAAUGCUUCCAAAAUUAUGCCAGCUGAUUUCAUUUUCAAAUGCUGCACACAGAGGGGCUCUCAUCUGUAAGGAACAGAGCACCCUCUUCAACUCCUCAUCAUCCUUCUCUGUUAGUGGUGUGAGCACUGCCAUGGCAUCCUCUGUUGACUGGCACUGUGGACAGACAUACUCAUCAAUGAGCUCUGCCUCACUCUGCAAGAUGCCAAUGCAGCACCCAUGGUACCAAUUCUGACACCGAUCAUGGCCAAUAAAAAAUCUGCAAGAUCCAAAAUGGAAAUGUGAGUUCAAAACAGAUGGGAUGAUGUUACUUAUAAUAAAGCAUGCACCUGAAAAUUUGCUAAACCCUGGGAUAUAAAAUAGUUUUAGUAUUAUGGUUUUAAUGCUUUCAAGAUCGACAUUCCAGUACAUUAAUUUAGUAUUUUUGAUGUUAAGAACAAGCAGUAAAAAAAUUUAUAAGAACACUGUAAUUUUGGAGAACCAAUUUAAAGAUAAAUAUGAAACAUUCAAUUGAUUUUAAAGCUGAAAACAAGUCACAAAUCUUUCAACUAGUACUGUACCAUGUGGGAGUUCAAAAUCCUAUAAGGUAAUAACAGAGUCUCAAAGCUUAUACCCAAAUUAGUGUUUUUCUAACCUAUAAUAAAGCACCAUUUCAAACACUGAUAAAGUCCAAACAAGUCAGGCUAGUUUAAUCUCAUUAAUUUCUAUGUUACAUAUUGAAGAAUCAAAUUUACCAUUAAACCACAUUUUCCCCAAUGUGUCUCAAACAUUCACUAUGAAGCAAGAUAAAUUUUGAAGGGUAGGUAAAAAGGGAAAAAGAGAAAAAAAAUGAAAAGGAAUUUGUAAUGUAAGUGUAUAACAAAUGUAGAAAAAAUCUGCUUUUUAUUUUAAAGUAAAUAAGUAACCAGUCAGAGCAAUUUGGCUUCCUAAAUUAUUAAAUGUGAUGCUCUUAUUAGAACUCACUGUGACUGCAGGUGUUCUGCAGAUACAGUACAAUUCCUCACUGCUGCCCUCUUGUGCCCAUUUACAAUCAUUACAGAUGUACACAUCCAUUUUCUUAGCCUCCUUUUCUGCGAUGCCAACACAUUCUCCAUAAUAGCAGUUAGUACAAAGAUCACAGCCAAUAUAGAACCUAAAAGUAUUCACAACGAAAAUGACAAUGUAAUUGUCGUUUUGAGCUGCAUGGUACUUAAAUCUGUCUUCCCUGCCUUGCUUCAUUUUUUUACAGGAUAACUUCCUGCUAUGAGUCAGCUAAACAUUCCUGAAUCCAACCAUUCUACCGCCGGCAAACUCCAGUAUCUGAUGCUCUAUCACAUGUGGAAACAAAGUCACUCACAUGGGUUUCAACAAGUACACUGCUUAGUGAAAUAUGGAUCUUUAAAAACAUACUGGAAUUUGAAAAAAUAAACCACACACUGAUGGUAAUGUCUUCCUCUGAAUGAAUGUGUGUAAAGCUGUAACAGGCACAAAAACCAAAGCCAAAGAAUCAAAGACUUACAUCUGUCAAACCUAUUCCACAGAAGCCAUUUCAAUAUCAGGGCUAUUUCUUAGAUAGGUUUAAAAAUGUAUCUCACAAUUUAAAUUUGAAAACAAAGCAAAGCGCAAACACCAAGUAGAAGUUACACUACACGGACCAUGCAGGUCAGCCAGGUGUAGAAGAUAAAUGGUCAAAAUAUGCUAAGAAGAAGAAAACUAAGAAAGGUACAUAGAGCAAUUCAAUCUCUACCAGGUUUUCUGAAUAAACAUUGGAAUUUAAUCGAAUUAAAAAUAAUUUCUCAUAA
This is a long non-coding RNA of Homo sapiens (human), 3178 nucleotides long. RefSeq lists it as uncharacterized. The record is from RefSeq and is a predicted model, not a curated record. Lineage: Eukaryota; Metazoa; Chordata; Mammalia; Primates; Hominidae. The transcript is spliced from 2 exons.